Molecule: ribosomal RNA, 474 nt
Filed under: Megasphaera geminata
Lineage: Bacteria; Bacillati; Bacillota; Negativicutes; Veillonellales; Veillonellaceae
Description: bacterial SSU rRNA
Rfam family: Bacterial small subunit ribosomal RNA
Source: RNAcentral
GACGAACGCUGGCGGCGUGCGUAACACAUGCAAGUCGAACGAGAGAGUGAGAGAAGCUUGCUUUUCUUACGAUCGAGUGGCAAACGGGUGAGUAACGCGUAAACAACCUGCCCCGCAGAUGGGGACAACAGCUGGAAACGGCUGCUAAUACCGAAUACGGUCCUCUUAGCGCAUGGUAAGAGGAAGAAAGGGUGGCCUCUGGAACAAGCUACCGCUGUGGGAGGGGUUUGCGUCUGAUUAGCUGGUUGGAGGGGUAACGGCCCACCAAGGCGACGAUCAGUAGCCGGUCUGAGAGGAUGAACGGCCACAUUGGAACUGAGACACGGUCCAGACUCCUACGGGAGGCAGCAGUGGGGAAUCUUCCGCAAUGGGCGAAAGCCUGACGGAGCAACGCCGCGUGAGUGAAGACGGCCUUCGGGUUGUAAAGCUCUGUUAUAGGGGACGAACGGCCGGGUAGCGAAGAGGUAGCCGGCA